AGCAGCCGCGGUAAUUCCAGCUCCAAUAGCGUAUAUUAAAGUUGUUGCAGUUAAAAAGCUCGUAGUUGAAUUUUGGGUCUGGCCGGGCGGUCCACCUUCCGGUGAGCACUGUUCCGACGCCGGGCCUAUCCUUCUGGUGAGACGGCAUGCCCUUCGCUGGGUGUGUCGGGGAACCAGGACCAUUACCUUGAAAAAUUAGAGUGUUCAAAGCAGGCAUUUGCUCGAAUACGUUAGCAUGGAAUAAUGAAAUAGGACGCGUGGUACUAUUUUGUUGGUUUCUAGGACCGCCGUAAUGAUUAAUAGGGAUAGUUGGGGGCAUUAGUAUUCAAUUGUCAGAGGUGAAAUUCUUGGAUUUAUUGAAGACUAACUUCUGCGAAAGCAUUUGCCAAGGAUGUUUUCAUUAAUCAAGAACGAAAGUUAGGGGAUCGAAGACGAUCAGAUACCGUCGUA
Molecule: ribosomal RNA, 450 nt
Filed under: uncultured Ambispora
Lineage: Eukaryota; Fungi; Glomeromycota; Glomeromycetes; Archaeosporales; Ambisporaceae
Description: SSU rRNA
Rfam family: Eukaryotic small subunit ribosomal RNA
Source: RNAcentral